This 908-nucleotide long non-coding RNA is filed under the name Pogona vitticeps (central bearded dragon). RNAcentral's name for it is "lncRNA (ENSPVIG00000006338.1)". The stretch from base 254 to 326 matches the Rfam family "mir-10 microRNA precursor family". The record is from RNAcentral. Lineage: Eukaryota; Metazoa; Chordata; Lepidosauria; Squamata; Agamidae.
GUUUUCGAAUUUUUGUAAGGUCUUUUAAAGAGGAAAACCUACCUUUUUUAUUAAAAAAAACUACAUUAAAUGUUGUUUAAAUUUAUGUUUUGGCAGGCUGAGAACCAGAAAACCCGUUAUUGUCCCAGGGGAUCAGAAAUGGGUGAAGACACCUCCAAAAGAGUUUGCUUCUUCUCCCCUGCAGUACAAACAUUCCCGGCUCUUCUCUACCUCGCACGCAAGACCGCUCCGCUCCUGCUGCCGUUUUGCCGGUUGCCAUAAACCCGUAGAUCCGAACUUGCGGUACAACUGACUCACACAAGCUCGAGUCUGUGGGUAUGUGUCGGCCUCGGCCAGAGCAUCAAGAGGCACCGGGGCCACAAACUGACUUUAUAAAGUCGUGGCUUCGCCGUUGAUUCAUCUAAAGACCAGGGAGCGCUCGUGUGCCCCUUGGGAAGAGAGCAACUUUAUCAUCUCCAAGUUCCCCCGUCUUCUCGGCCAUUCUUUGGGAGAACGUGCACAAGGCAGAGGCGGGUACAGAACUUAAGUCCCCGAGAACCUCAACUUUGAUUUUAAACCAUACCAGCAAGAUUCUAGUCCUGAAAUUUGCAGGCCAUGCCUGCUGAAAUAUCAGAAAUCAGAGGACUGGCAUAUCAAAAUUGAGUCUCCGGGCAAGACAAGCCUUAGGGUUGGAUUAGAUGGAACAAAAUAAGCUGUCACCAAAGUAUUGCUUUUCUGGGUCCCUAUCAGGACUGUUUCCAAGUACCUUCGGCUAUGAGUUCAGCUUCAGGCAGAUGCUUAACUGGACCUUUAACACAAGUCAAAGUAGGGGAGGGAAAUGACACUUGUUAUCCUCUUCUUUCUGUUCCUGCUUCUGGGAGGAAGUUUUCAAUUUUUUUUUAAAAAAAGGUGAUGCAGUACAAUUGCAG